Molecule: long non-coding RNA, 1231 nt
Organism: Cyprinus carpio carpio
Lineage: Eukaryota; Metazoa; Chordata; Actinopteri; Cypriniformes; Cyprinidae
Source: Ensembl
AGAUGAAUCAUUAUACCGGCUUCGUUAGGCCUAAACUGAUGUCACUGCCAACUGAAGCUCCUCUGAUAAUACAAAACAUUACCAGUUAUCCUUCAAACUACACCUCCAGUCCUCCAGUGUCUGGAUGCUCCACGGCUGCUCAAUCCAGACUGAAUGUCUUCUCAGCAAGACAGAAAUACCCAUGCAGUCCGAGCGUUGCAGAGUCAAGGGAUCUAAAUCCUCACAGUGUCAACUCUAUUACUGAAGGGCCUCUGGUUCCAUUGUUAGCCAAAAAUCGCUCAGUAGUCACCAACCGUACCUCACAAAGCCAUGUGUCUGACAGUGGUAUUUCUGACCGUCAUUUCUUAUUUGAUAAACGAUGGAGAAAUGGAACUUACAUCACUAAUGAUGAUGUGCUGGUGAACCACAACUCUACAAAUCCACUCUCUCAGGAGUUCCAUGUUUCUCGCUCUCAUAAUUUAACCAGAUUUGCCCACCGCAAAGAACUCUGCCCGCGUGACCCAAGACCACUUAUUUGCGGGUCUGAUUAUCUGACCUCAUUUCCAUCAGUUCUGUUACCAGCCUCUACCCUGUCUAUCAGUGGACGACUCUGUAUAUCACAAAACUAUAAAAACGGAUUAAGGAUAAAAAACAGAGCGCACAAUCUCUUCUCUGAUGGUGCUAACAACAGAACCUGUGGGCCGGUUAUUGUUUUUCAGCCCAGUCGUACCCUGAUCCACAUCUGGGUGCCUCGGCCUCUUUUGUUCAGAGGCUCACAGAGAUUUCCUCUCUGGAAGCAGAGACAGUCCGGCAGGAGAGGAUGAAGAGACUCAAAAAGAUCAAUAGGCAGGACUCUUAAUCGGAGUUCAUUAGCCAAAGAGGAAACACUUGACUCCUGAAAUCACAACUGUGCCAAGAUGGAGUAAAUAAAGUCAAGGAGAAGAACUUGAGAGGUACAGAGUGUUGUAGCGCAGCCACUAUAUUAUAACUGAAAUAAAAUGAAAACGAUGGCUCUAGCAUUUAUAUUUCUUAUGUAAAACUAUCAGGGAUUGUUGAAUUUAAAGUGUAUUCGCCAAGAAUAACUGCCUUAACAUUGCAUUUAUAUAUGUGUUACAUAUAUAAAAAAACUUUAUGCUUUGUGUACUGCCUUUAACUUUAAGUAAAUAUGAUCAUAUCCAAAAAACAUAUUGUUGUCAAAGAAACAAUUUGCUUCAACGUUAUCUAAAAGUUAAGAACUGCAUUAUUAAAUAGU